Molecule: ribosomal RNA, 253 nt
Filed under: uncultured bacterium
Lineage: Bacteria
Description: partial 16S ribosomal RNA
Rfam family: Bacterial small subunit ribosomal RNA
Source: RNAcentral
UACGGGGGGUGCAAGCGUUAUUCGGAAUUAUUGGGCGUAAAGGGCGCGUAGGCGGUUGAAUAAGUCAGAUGUGAAAGCCCUUGGCUUAACCAAGGAAGUGCAUUUGAUACUAUUUGACUUGAGUAUGGGAGAGGGAAGUGGAAUUCCUGGUGUAGAGGUGAAAUUCGUAGAUAUCAGGAGGAACACCGGUGGCGAAAGCGACUUCCUGGACCAAUACUGACGCUGAGGAGUGAAGGCGUGGGGAGCAAAAAGG